RNAcentral lists this ribosomal RNA (552 nucleotides) under uncultured bacterium. Its description in RNAcentral is "bacterial SSU rRNA". It matches the Rfam family "Bacterial small subunit ribosomal RNA", at positions 201 to 771 of the family's 1533-position model. The record is from RNAcentral.
GAAAAGGAGCAAUCCGCUUUGAGAUGGCCUCGCGUCCGAUUAGCUGGUUGGUGAGGUAACGGCCCACCAAGGCAACGAUCGGUAGCCGGACUGAGAGGUUGAACGGCCACAUUGGGACUGAGACACGGCCCAGACUCCUACGGGAGGCAGCAGUGGGGAAUAUUGCACAAUGGGGGAAACCCUGAUGCAGCGACGCCGCGUGGAGGAAGAAGGUCUUCGGAUUGUAAACUCCUGUUGUUGAGGAAGAUAAUGACGGUACUCAACAAGGAAGUGACGGCUAACUACGUGCCAGCAGCCGCGGUAAAACGUAGGUCACAAGCGUUGUCCGGAAUUACUGGGUGUAAAGGGAGCGCAGGCGGGAAGACAAGUUGGAAGUGAAAUCCAUGGGCUCAACCCAUGAACUGCUUUCAAAACUGUUUUUCUUGAGUAGUGCAGAGGUAGGCGGAAUUCCCGGUGUAGCGGUGGAAUGCGUAGAUAUCGGGAGGAACACCAGUGGCGAAGGCGGCCUACUGGGCACCAACUGACGCUGAGGCUCGAAAGUGUGGGUAGCAA